UGCGUAGGCGGCUUGAUAAGUCAGAGGUGAAAGUUUGCAGCUUAACUGUAAAAUUGCCUUUGAAACUGUUGAGCUUGAAUAGCGUUGAGGUCAGCGGAAUGUGACAUGUAGCGGUGAAAUGCAUAGAUAUGUCAUAGAACACCAAUUGCGAAGGCAGCUGGCUGGGCGUUUAUUGACGCUGAGGCACGAAAGCGUGGGGAGCGAACAGGAUUAGAUACCCUGGUAGUCC
RNAcentral lists this ribosomal RNA (229 nucleotides) under uncultured bacterium. Its description in RNAcentral is "partial 16S ribosomal RNA". It matches the Rfam family "Bacterial small subunit ribosomal RNA", at positions 568 to 796 of the family's 1533-position model. The record is from RNAcentral.